UACGGAGGGUGCAAGCGUUGUUCGGAAUUAUUGGGCGUAAAGGGCGUGUAGGUGGCUUUCCAAGUCUGGUGUGAAAUCCCACGGCUCAACCGUGGAACUGCAUUGGAAACUGGUGAGCUCGAGUGUUGGAGGGGGUCGCGGAAUUCCCGGUGUAGAGGUGAAAUUCGUAGAUAUCGGGAGGAACACCAGUGGCGAAGGCGGCGACCUGGCCAAUCACUGACACUGAGACGCGAAAGCGUGGGGAGCAAACAGG
Molecule: ribosomal RNA, 253 nt
Filed under: uncultured bacterium
Lineage: Bacteria
Description: partial 16S ribosomal RNA
Rfam family: Bacterial small subunit ribosomal RNA
Source: RNAcentral